AAGGUGAAUCUAUUAUUGUGAGUGAUGAUGGUUUUGGUGAAAUAUUAGGGAAAAAAGGUGAAACUGUAAUUGUGAGUGAUGAUGGUUUUGGUGAAAUAAUAUAUAGAUAAAGAGAGAUUUAUAUAAAGUGGAAUUUGACUUACUUCUCAUGAAUACGUUUGAGACCUCCAUGAGAGAUUUUGUCCCAAUAAGAUGGAUCAGCCUUACUCUUCUCAAAGAAUUCAACAAGAGUCUCAGCAGCUUGGUCACCAUGAUAAGGAUCAAUAUGGUAACCAGAUUUUCCAUGAACAAUGAUCUCAGCAGGACCACCAUUACACGUUGCGAAUGUCGGCAAUCCACAAGUCAUAGCUUCAACAACAGUCAAACCAAAAGCUUCAUAAAUAGCAGGCUGCACAAAAGCUCCCUUUGUGUCGCAAAUGACACGGUAAAGCUCUCCGUUCCGAAUUCGGUUCAUUUGUGAGGAAA
Long non-coding RNA from Medicago truncatula (barrel medic), 465 nucleotides. RefSeq lists it as uncharacterized. The transcript is spliced from 2 exons. Lineage: Eukaryota; Viridiplantae; Streptophyta; Magnoliopsida; Fabales; Fabaceae. The record is from RefSeq and is a predicted model, not a curated record.